RNAcentral lists this long non-coding RNA (409 nucleotides) under Monodelphis domestica (gray short-tailed opossum). RNAcentral's name for it is "lncRNA (ENSMODG00000050445.1)". Lineage: Eukaryota; Metazoa; Chordata; Mammalia; Didelphimorphia; Didelphidae. The record is from RNAcentral.
AUGGGACUCAAACACAAGGGUUCUGAUUCCACAUCUCAUGUUAUUAGUGGUGCCAAACUUCCCCCCUCUGUCUCUUUCCCCUCUUGUUCUCUCAAACUUUCUCUCUGCAUAUCUGUCUCUCUUCCCCCAUCUUGCUCUUUUUUUCCCUCUUGCCCUCCUUCCCCCACUCUCUCCCGCUCUGUUUCCCAUCUUGCUCUUUUCCCCUCUUGUUCUCCUUCCCUCUCCCUCCCUCUCUCCUCUCCCUCCCCCUCUCUCUCUCCUUCCCUCUCUCUCUCUCCUCUCCCUCCCUCUCUCUUUUUCUCUCUCCUCUCCCUCCCUCUCUUUUUCUCUCUCACCUCUCCCUCCCUCUCUCCUCUCCCUCCCCCUCUCUCAUACAGGCCUCUCUCUCUCUCCUCUCCUUCCCUCUCUC